RNAcentral lists this unclassified non-coding RNA (1543 nucleotides) under Hevea brasiliensis (rubber tree). The record is from RNAcentral. Lineage: Eukaryota; Viridiplantae; Streptophyta; Magnoliopsida; Malpighiales; Euphorbiaceae.
GCACCAGAGCCAAAACUUUCAAAUAUUACUAAUCCAACUGUCCCAAUAAUCAUGUCUUUCAACAAAUAAGACAAUACAUGUUAACUGUGAAUUUUAAAUAAAUUCUAGUAACAAGUAAUUUCACUUGCAAGUAAAAGGUUCAAAUUUUCUUUUGUUCCUAUCUGUCGAAUCCUUUUGUUUGUCUUGUAGCAAAGGCUCUCUCUUGGCUCUGGUGCUUCUUUGGGUUUCCAUAUUUGAGAGGUACAAUUUGCUCAAUGUACGAUUUUUCAGGAAAGUGUCUCUUAUCUUUCUGAAGUUUUUGCAGUUGUGGCAACCAGUAUGCAACAUAUUCGCCUUCAUGAUCAUAGGUUUGUGCUUGCUUUGGAAUGCUGAAAUAACGAUCUUCCCUAGGGUCAUUUCCAAUUCCUGCACCAUAGGUCCAAUUCCCAUAAUUGGAACAGGGGUCAUAAUCCAAGAGGCAUGUCUCAAACCAUUCAGCUCCCAUACGCCAGUCAAUGCCCAUAUCUCGAACAAGAAAGGAACACACGAUCUGUCGUCCUCGAUUUGACAUAAAUCCGGUGGUAAAAAGUUCCUUCAUGUUUGCAUCUAUGAGAGGGUACCCUGUACACCCAUCUCUCCAAGAUUCAAACAACCUCUGGUCUUGACUCCAUCUUCUUUCCACUUUCCGUGGGCCACCUAAAUGGAAAAUUGAAUUUCCAUAUUUGGUUGAGAGAAACCUGAAGUAAUCCCUCCAAAUCAAUUCAAACAAAACCCAGUAUGUGGAAUCAUUUGCUUGCCUUUCCUUUUCAUAUCUAAUUACCUCUUCACAGAUGAAACGAGGAGAAAGGCUUCCUGAAGCAAGCCAUGGAGAGAAUUUCGUUGAGUAAUCAGGUCCCAGCAUCCCAUUUCUAGUCUCCUUAUAUAUCUUCAGCAAAUCCUUCUUCCAGAAGUACUCAAAAACCCUACAUAAUGCAGCACUUUCACCUCCCAGAAAGUUCAUUCCUUUGUUAACCUUUUGUGAUUGAAGUCCAAGCUGAUCAAUUGAUGGAACACAACCCCAAUCUUCAACGCUAGGCGGUGGUGCAAGAGAUGUUGGAAUUUUAAAACAGCAUCGGAUGGUACAUUUUGCUUCAACAGACUUACGAAACUGAGUAUACACAUCAGGUAUGGUGUUGGUAGAAAAAGGGAGGUCAUCCAUGUGGUACAUAGUGCUGCCCCAAACAAGUUGUAGCUUAGGAUUGUUUGUAGAGCACUGGCCAGUGGAUUUCUCUGGAAAAGGUGCUAACUUUACUUGCAGUAGUGCUUUAUUGACUAAUCUCUCGACAUUUACCUCUUCACUGCAUGUUUCUUUUUGCGCAUAUACUGUGUGGGCUGCAAAAGCUUGAACAAGAGAAGGGAUGAUUUCCUCAGGUUUGCCAUGUCGAAUUAGCAGGUUGAGUCCCCUCUUCAUCAAAUUUUUCUUCAAGUCAGCCAAACACUCGAUAAUAAAUUGAGCUCUCAAAGCUCCAGUUUUAGGGAAGCCAAAAUAGUAAGUAUUUCCAAAAAGUCGAGGAUCCACACAAUA